RNAcentral lists this ribosomal RNA (492 nucleotides) under uncultured bacterium. RNAcentral's name for it is "partial 16S ribosomal RNA". It matches the Rfam family "Bacterial small subunit ribosomal RNA", at positions 29 to 507 of the family's 1533-position model. The record is from RNAcentral.
AGUGAACGCUGGCGGUAUGCCUAACACAUGCAAGUCGAACGGCAGCACAGUAAGAGCUUGCUCUUACGGGUGGCGAGUGGCGGACGGGUGACGAAUACAUCGGAUUCUACUUUUUCGUGGGGGAUAACGUAGGGAAACUUACGCUAAUACCGCAUACGACCUACGGGUGAAAGCAGGGGAUCUUCGGACCUUGCGCGAGUGAAUGAGCCGAUGUCGGAUUAGAUAGUUGGCGGGGUAAAGGCCCACCAAGGCGACGAUCCGUAGCUGGUCUGAGCGGAUGAACCGCCACCCUGGAACUGAGGAACGGUCCCGACUCCUACGGGAGGCCGCAGUGGGGAAUAUUGGACAAUGGGGCAAAGCCUGAUCCAGCCAUACCGCGUGGGUCAAGAAGGCCCUCGGGUUGGAAAGCCCUUUUGUUGGGAAAGAAAAACAGCUGGUUAAUACCCCGUUGUUCUGACGGUACCCAAAGAAUAAGCACCGGCUAACUUCGUG